UAUUUUUUUGUUUCGUGUUU
RNAcentral lists this microRNA (20 nucleotides) under Bos taurus (domestic cattle). RNAcentral's name for it is "bta-miR-2421". Lineage: Eukaryota; Metazoa; Chordata; Mammalia; Artiodactyla; Bovidae. The record is from miRBase by way of RNAcentral.